AGACGUAAAAAAUGAUCAAAUCGAAUUACUACCGGUAGUGUAUUUCUGACUACAGGUAGUACAAAAUUUCAGAGGCUAAAUCAGAUUUUUUACUAUCGGUAGUGAAAUAAACACUACCGGUAGUCCACACUCACUCUCUCACAUCUCACCCUCUCAAGUCUCACUCACCCCAUCAUUGUCUCUGACACACACACUCCCUCACAUUUAACUCUCU
RNAcentral lists this long non-coding RNA (214 nucleotides) under Actinidia chinensis (golden kiwifruit). RNAcentral describes it as "long non-coding RNA (ACHI_LNC006439)". The record is from RNAcentral. Lineage: Eukaryota; Viridiplantae; Streptophyta; Magnoliopsida; Ericales; Actinidiaceae.